This 338-nucleotide long non-coding RNA is filed under the name Salmo salar (Atlantic salmon). RNAcentral's name for it is "lncRNA (ENSSSAG00000120709.1)". Lineage: Eukaryota; Metazoa; Chordata; Actinopteri; Salmoniformes; Salmonidae. The record is from RNAcentral.
GAGCCUCGUGAGGUCAGGCCCAGUGCUGUGGUACAGUGGUAUCAGUAGUGUUCUCUGACUCUGAGCCUCGUCAGGUCAGCCCAGUGCCGUGGUACAGUGGUAUCAGUAGUGUUCUCUGACUCUGAGCCUCGUGAGGUCAGGCCCAGUGCCGUGGUACAGUGGUAUCAGUAGUGUUCUCUGACUCUGAGCCUCGUGAGGUCAGGCCCAGUGCUGUGGUACAGUGGUAUCAGUAGUGUUUUCUGACUCUGAGCCUCGUGAGGUCAGGCCCAGUGCUGUGGUACAGUGGUAUCAGUAGUGUUCUCUGACUCUGAGCCUCGUGAGGUCAGCCCAGUGCUGUG